RNAcentral lists this long non-coding RNA (309 nucleotides) under Carica papaya (papaya). Its description in RNAcentral is "long non-coding RNA (CPAP_LNC015802)". The record is from RNAcentral. Lineage: Eukaryota; Viridiplantae; Streptophyta; Magnoliopsida; Brassicales; Caricaceae.
GAAGCAAUAUGGAGAUGAUAUAGGGGCUAGAUGGUAAGGAUUUCAAAAAAAAAAGGGAAAUUUAGGAAUGUUUUUUUAAAAAAAGAAACGAAACCAACAAUGUAGAUCUACCCUUGACAUCGAAUAGUCCUCACACCCCUUAUAAAAAACUUCUUAUUCUCAGUCACUUGGGGGGGGACGAGGGGAACCCUAACAGAAGAGGGAGGGUCGAUCACGAGAGAGAGAUAGUGAGAUUGACUUAGAAGAGAGCAAGUCAAAGGAGUACGAGAUUCUACAGAGGAAAUAAAAUCUUAAAAUAGCUAGUCUAAU